RNAcentral lists this ribosomal RNA (266 nucleotides) under uncultured bacterium. RNAcentral describes it as "partial 16S ribosomal RNA". It matches the Rfam family "Bacterial small subunit ribosomal RNA", at positions 88 to 354 of the family's 1533-position model. The record is from RNAcentral.
CAUUCGAGUGGCGGACGGGUGAGUAACGCGUGGGUAACCUGCCUUACACAGGGGGAUAACACCUGGAAACAGGUGCUAAUACCGCAUAAGCGCACAGGGCCGCAUGGCCCGGUGUGAAAAACUCCGGUGGUGUAAGAUGGACCCGCGUCUGAUUAGCCUGUUGGCGGGGUAGGGGCCCACCAAGGCGACGAUCAGUAGCCGGCCUGAGAGGGUGGACGGCCACAUUGGGACUGAGACACGGCCCAAACUCCUACGGGAGGCAGCAG